Molecule: ribosomal RNA, 253 nt
Filed under: uncultured bacterium
Lineage: Bacteria
Description: partial 16S ribosomal RNA
Rfam family: Bacterial small subunit ribosomal RNA
Source: RNAcentral
UACAGAGGUGGCAAGCGUUGUUCGGAAUUACUGGGCGUAAAGGGCGCGUAGGCGGCCUUCUAAGUCAGACGUGAAAUCCCCCGGCUUAACCUGGGAACUGCGUCUGAUACUGGAGGGCUCGAGUGCGGGAGAGGGAUGUAGAAUUCCAGGUGUAGCGGUGAAAUGCGUAGAUAUCUGGAGGAACACCGGUGGCGAAGGCGGCAUCCUGGACCGACACUGACGCUGAGGCGCGAAAGCUAGGGUAGCAAACGGG